This 394-nucleotide ribosomal RNA is filed under the name uncultured bacterium. RNAcentral's name for it is "bacterial SSU rRNA". It matches the Rfam family "Bacterial small subunit ribosomal RNA", at positions 29 to 405 of the family's 1533-position model. The record is from RNAcentral.
AACGAACGCUGGCGGCGUGCCUAACACAUGCAAGUCGCACGAGAAAGCGGGCUUCGGCCCGCCGGUAAAGUGGCAGACGGGUGAGUAACACGUGGGUAACCUCCCCAGAGGUGGGGGAUAACCCUCCGAAAGGAGGGCUAAUACCGCAUGAUAUCUCGAGAGCUUCGGCUUUUGCGAUCAAAGCUAGCCUCUACUUGUAAGCUAGCGCCACUGGAGGGACCCGCGCCCCAUUAGCUAGUGGUGAGGUAACGGCUCACCAAGGCUCCGAUGGGUAGCCGGCCUGAGAGGGUGUCCGGCCACACUGGAACUGAGACACGGUCCAGACUCCUACGGGAGGCAGCAGUGAGGAAUCUUGCGCAAUGGGCGAAAGCCUGACGCAGCGACGCCGCGUGGA